UGACGGUACCUCUUGAAUAAGCUCCGGCUAACUACGUGCCAGCAGCCGCGGUAAUACGUAGGGAGCAAGCGUUAUCCGGAUUUACUGGGUGUAAAGGGAGCGUAGACGGCAUGGCAAGUCUGAAGUGAAAGCCUGGGGCUCAACCCCGGAACUGCUUUGGAAACUGUUAAGCUAGAGUGCAGGAGAGGUAAGUGGAAUUCCUAGUGUAGCGGUGAAAUGCGUAGAUAUUAGGAGGAACACCAGUGGCGAAGGCGGCUUACUGGACUGUAACUGACGUUGAGGCUCGAAAGCGUGGGGAGCAAACAGGAUUAGAUACCCUG
This 320-nucleotide ribosomal RNA is filed under the name uncultured bacterium. RNAcentral's name for it is "bacterial SSU rRNA". It matches the Rfam family "Bacterial small subunit ribosomal RNA", at positions 470 to 789 of the family's 1533-position model. The record is from RNAcentral.